AAAUUGAAGAGUUUGAUCAUGGCUCAGAUUGAACGCUGGCGGCAGGCCUAACACAUGCAAGUCGAACGGUAACAGGAAGCAGCUUGCUGCUUUGCUGACGAGUGGCGGACGGGUGAGUAAUGUCUGGGAAACUGCCUGAUGGAGGGGGAUAACUACUGGAAACGGUAGCUAAUACCGCAUAACGUCGCAAGACCAAAGAGGGGGACCUUCGGGCCUCUUGCCAUCGGAUGUGCCCAGAUGGGAUUAGCUAGUAGGUGGGGUAACGGCUCACCUAGGCGACGAUCCCUAGCUGGUCUGAGAGGAUGACCAGCCACACUGGAACUGAGACACGGUCCAGACUCCUACGGGAGGCAGCAGUGGGGAAUAUUGCACAAUGGGCGCAAGCCUGAUGCAGCCAUGCCGCGUGUAUGAAGAAGGCCUUCGGGUUGUAAAGUACUUUCAGCGGGGAGGAAGGUGUUGAGGUUAAUAACCUCAGCAAUUGACGUUACCCGCAGAAG
RNAcentral lists this ribosomal RNA (497 nucleotides) under Enterobacter hormaechei. RNAcentral's name for it is "bacterial SSU rRNA". It matches the Rfam family "Bacterial small subunit ribosomal RNA", at positions 1 to 487 of the family's 1533-position model. Lineage: Bacteria; Pseudomonadati; Pseudomonadota; Gammaproteobacteria; Enterobacterales; Enterobacteriaceae. The record is from RNAcentral.